This 82-nucleotide small nuclear RNA is filed under the name Cavia porcellus (domestic guinea pig). Lineage: Eukaryota; Metazoa; Chordata; Mammalia; Rodentia; Caviidae. The record is from RNAcentral.
CAAAGCUAGAAAGAUACAGUGAAGAUUAGCAUGGCCCUUGUACAAGGAUGACAUACAAAUUCAUGAAGCAUGCCACAUUUUU